UCUCCGUUGGUGAACCAGCGGAGGGAUCAUUACAGAGUUGCAAAACUCCCAAACCAUUGUGAACGUUACCUAUCCCGUUGCUUCGGCGGGCGGCCCGGGCCCCGCGCCCGGCGCCCCCCGGCCCCCCGUGGGCGCCCGCCGGAGGUAAACCAAACCCUUGAAUUGCAUGGCCUCUCUGAGUCUUCUGUACUGAAUAGUCAAAACUUUCAACAACGGAUCUCUUGGUUCUG
RNAcentral lists this unclassified non-coding RNA (230 nucleotides) under plant metagenome. RNAcentral's name for it is "partial contains small subunit ribosomal RNA, internal transcribed spacer 1, and 5.8S ribosomal RNA". The record is from RNAcentral.